Molecule: long non-coding RNA, 1814 nt
Organism: Gallus gallus (chicken)
Lineage: Eukaryota; Metazoa; Chordata; Aves; Galliformes; Phasianidae
Source: Ensembl
CCUAUCUGGAAGCUGUGAGUAGGUGUUCUGGCUGCCACGCAUACGCUGCCAAAGGAAAAAUAUCAGAGGCUUACUGUUUAUUUUCUUUUUGGUGCAUUUUAUACACAGCAGUACAAACUCUGGCAGCUCCUGUCUGACUGAAUCUUACUUACUGUGCAUUUUGGAUGUCACUGCUGUUAAAGUUCGAUUGUGUAGUGUUAGAUGUGGCAGAAAUGUUUAUCCUGUAACUUAUAAUGUCUCCAGAGGACAAUAAAAUGGGCAUGGAUUAUUUUUUUCUGCCUGGCAGGAUACUGGAAAUAAGCUCCUAUAGUGGAAAGUUUGCUGUGAGCAGGGCAGGCUGGUGCAGAGCUACUUGCUGUUCCCAGUCAUUUUGGCAACGUGGAGCAUGAGCUGCAGAACAGGGAGUGCUGACAGUGUGGAUGAACGGGUGCAUUGGGACAGAAAUAACCAAGAGUGAAAAAGAUGUCUCGGUGGCCAACUAGUUUUACAGAUCUUCCCUGGAUGUUUUUGCAUUUGCUAAGAGAUUGCCAACCAUCCACUUGACCCUGCACCUCUGCACUUCUGAUUAACUCAAACUGGACCCAACUUUGCUGAAGAAUCACAGAAUUGCAGGGGUUGGAAGAGACUUCAGGAGAUUGAGUCCAACCCCCCUGCUAAAACAGGCACAGGCAGAGCUCCCACGGAGAAACAUGGGAGGCCCAAAAUGAAUGAUGGAGGAUGGAGGCUUUCAAACAAAGAAACCACAGAUGGAGGCAAGGGAAGACUGUGCUUCUGCCAUACAAAAAGUUCCACUGAGGUGACUACCUCCAAAGACAUUCUGAAGAUAAUUGAGUAAGUGGGUGCGUACCUAUGUACAGAAUAGCAAAAGGCGUUUUGCCCUGUUCUACUUGCUGAACAAUGUUUGCUUGAGAUGUUACAGCAAGGUGAAAAGUUUGUAUUUCCUGCUCCUGCAUUUUAGGCACUGCAUUAUUUCUUCUUAUAUUCACCACUCUUUCACAUGAAGAUAAAGUAGCUGAACAACAGGAGGAAUUAAUAUGACUGUUUUGUUAUUGAAAAAUGCUCAUUAUGGAACUAAGCAUAAAAAUAUUAGUUGAUUUAAACCGACAGAUUGUAACUCUGGAGGAAAUGUAAAGGACCUAGGCUAAACGGCAACAUCUCCAUAUUCUCUUAGAACAAUGCCUUUGGUUAAGUUAAAACUGUGAAAUCGGCCUGGAUCUAUUAGUGACAGCUAUAUUUUAUUAUGAGGCUCAGUUAUAUAAUAAAUGUCAAUCAUUUGUUUUCUUUUAUUGUUUUAAUCAGAAAGGCUUGAAUGCUUGUGAAGAGUCUAAGGGAAAGGGAGUCAUUUGUGUCAGUAAUUUAAUAUCAGAUUUUGUGAGUAAAGAUAAAUGCUGCAUUUAGUUUUGAAAACCAGACACAAGGGCCAGACUACUCCAAUAUAUUCCCUUUUUACUCCUGUUCUAUCACUGAAUCUGGGAUAUACUACUUUCUAUAGAACCACUGAAGAGGCUGGUAAUUUUCAUUCUAUCAUGUUAUAUUAACAGCGUGUCCUUCCCUGUAUCUUUGACCUUGAUGUAUGGAUGUCAGCAUCUGUAAUAUUUUUUCUUUGAAAACACAAAUCCAGGAUGUGUAGAAUUAUAGCGUACCUCUCUGAACUCUUUAAAUAAAUUUCUUGUGUCACCUUGUCCCAUUACGCUAAGAGUUUCAAAAAUGAUAACUGGAUCCUGCUGUGAUGUGAUAAACUUCCCAAGAUGGUUGAGGUAUUUUGAUUUGACAGAGGACAGCAAAUUAGACAUCAAAAUGAUAACAUCUUCAAG